GACGAACGCUGGCGGCGUGCUUAACACAUGCAAGUCGAACGGAAAGGCCCUGCUUUUGUGGGGUGCUCGAGUGGCGAACGGGUGAGUAACACGUGAGCAACCUGCCCUUGACUUUGGGAUAACUUCAGGAAACUGGGGCUAAUACCGGAUAGGAGCUCCUGCUGCAUGGUGGGGGUUGGAUAGUUUCGGCGGUUGGGGAUGGACUCGCGGCUUAUCAGCUUGUUGGUGGGGUAGUGGCUUACCAAGGCUUUGACGGGUAGCCGGCCUGAGAGGGUGACCGGCCACAUUGGGACUGAGAUACGGCCCAGACUCCUACGGGAGGCAGAAGUGGGGAAUAUUGCACAAUGGGCGGAAGCCUGAUGCAGCAACGCCGCGUGGGGGAUGACGGCCUUCGGGUUGUAAACCGCUUUCGCCUGUGACGAAGCGUGAGUGACGGUAAUGGGUAAAGAAGCACCGGCUAACUACGUG
RNAcentral lists this ribosomal RNA (468 nucleotides) under uncultured bacterium. Its description in RNAcentral is "partial 16S ribosomal RNA". It matches the Rfam family "Bacterial small subunit ribosomal RNA", at positions 28 to 507 of the family's 1533-position model. The record is from RNAcentral.